AAUCUCUCUGGACGUUGAGGAAGUUCUGUCGUCGGUGGCCUCGAAGUCUCUCUUUCUCUCUCGAAUUCGUGAUUUCAACGAUAUACGUUCAGUGAUCUUUGUGGUUGGUCUGUUGAAAGUGUCUCGUUCGGUGUCGAUUUUGUCAAAGUUCUGAGCUUUUUUUGUGCAAUGGGUUCGUCCGCUGACACUGGUUCUUCUAACAAGUUGUUUGUUCGUCAUCAUUGAAAACAAAGUGUAUUGCUACUUUGAAUGGAAUUUUGAGUGAGGAGCACAAGUCCAUUAUUUCGAAGACGCAAUUUGGAUGUUUUUAGAAAAAUCCCCUUUUGUACCGAAAGUUGAAGAGUGCUACCCAUACAUGGCUUAAGCACUCUCCAGGGGUCCUUACGAGUGUGUUUUCAAUGUUGUGUGGAUUGAUUAUCGCUAUUGGCCAUGGUUGAAGGUGUUCACAACAAGAAAUUUCAAGUUAGGUCAGUCCUAUGUGGAUGGAAGACCAAGUUAAGGUGUUUCUAGGUUGAGAGGUGAGUUCUUGCACCAUUGACACAUGACUAAUGUUGUUGUAAUCGAUUAUAGGGAGCUGGUAAUCGC
This 585-nucleotide small RNA is filed under the name Vigna angularis var. angularis. Its description in RNAcentral is "Non-protein coding transcript". The record is from RNAcentral. Lineage: Eukaryota; Viridiplantae; Streptophyta; Magnoliopsida; Fabales; Fabaceae.